RNAcentral lists this ribosomal RNA (253 nucleotides) under uncultured bacterium. RNAcentral describes it as "partial 16S ribosomal RNA". It matches the Rfam family "Bacterial small subunit ribosomal RNA", at positions 524 to 776 of the family's 1533-position model. The record is from RNAcentral.
UACGUAGGUGGCGAGCAUUGUCCGGAAUUACUGGGUGUAAAGCGCGUGUAGGCGGGAGGCCAAGUCUGCGGUGAAAUCGCUCGGCUCAACUGGGCGGGGUCCGUGGAAACUGGUCACCUGGAGGACGGUAGAGGCGAGUGGAAUUCCCGGUGUAGUGGUGAAAUGCGUAGAGAUCGGGAGGAACACCAGUGGCGAAGGCGGCUCGCUGGGCCGGACCUGACGCUGAGACGCGAAGGCGUGGGGAGCGAACGGG